UAAGCAGAUGUACUGCGUGUUCAACCGCAA
This 30-nucleotide non-coding RNA is filed under the name Homo sapiens (human). Lineage: Eukaryota; Metazoa; Chordata; Mammalia; Primates; Hominidae. The record is from RNAcentral.